GAUGAACGCUGGCGGCGUGCCUAAUACAUGCAAGUCGAGCGAACGGACGAGAAGCUUGCUUCUCUGAUGUUAGCGGCGGACGGGUGAGUAACACGUGGAUAACCUACCUAUAAGACUGGGAUAACUUCGGGAAACCGGAGCUAAUACCGGAUGAUAUUUUGAACCGCAUGGUUCAAAAGUGAAAGACGGUCUUGCUGUCACUUAUAGAUGGAUCCGCGCUGCAUUAGCUAGUUGGUAAGGUAACGGCUUACCAAGGCAACGAUGCAUAGCCGACCUGAGAGGGUGAUCGGCCACACUGGAACUGAGACACGGUCCAGACUCCUACGGGAGGCAGCAGUAGGGAAUCUUCCGCAAAGGGCGAAAGCCUGACGGAGCAACGCCGCGUGAGUGAUGAAGGUCUGCGGAUCGUAAAACUCUGUUAUUAGGGAAGAACAUAUGUGUAAGUAACUGUGCACAUCUUGACGGUACCUAAUCAGAAAGCCACGGCUAACUACGUG
Molecule: ribosomal RNA, 497 nt
Filed under: uncultured bacterium
Lineage: Bacteria
Description: partial 16S ribosomal RNA
Rfam family: Bacterial small subunit ribosomal RNA
Source: RNAcentral